GAUGAAGAACGUAGCGAAAUGCGAUACGUAGUGUGAAUUGCGGAAUUCAGUGAAUCAUCGAAUCUUUGAACGCACAUUGCACCUCUCGGUAUUCCGGGAGGUAUGCCUGUUCGAGCGUCAUUUGUACCCUCAAGCUCUGCUUGGUGUUGGGUGUUUGUUCCGCCUCUGUGUGUGAACUCGCCUCAAAACAAUUGGCAGCCGGCGUACUUGUUUCGGAGCGCAGCACAUUUUGCGAUCCAGAUCAACGUACAGCGGCAUCCAAGAAGCCUUAUUUAACGCUCUUGACCUCGGAUCAGGUAGGGAUACCCGCUGAACUUAAGCAUAUCAAUAAGCGGAGGA
RNAcentral lists this unclassified non-coding RNA (339 nucleotides) under soil metagenome. Its description in RNAcentral is "partial contains 5.8S ribosomal RNA, internal transcribed spacer 2, and large subunit ribosomal RNA". The stretch from base 1 to 120 matches the Rfam family "5.8S ribosomal RNA", at positions 35 to 154 of the family's 154-position model. The record is from RNAcentral.